UACGUAGGGUGCGAGCGUUAAUCGGAAUUACUGGGCGUAAAGCGUGCGCAGGCGGUUUGUUAAGUCAGAUGUGAAAGCCCCGGGCUUAACCUGGGAAUGGCGUUUGAGACUGGCAAGCUAGAGUCUGUCAGAGGGGGGUAGAAUUCCACGUGUAGCAGUGAAAUGCGUAGAGAUGUGGAGGAAUACCGAUGGCGAAGGCAGCCCCCUGGGAUAAGACUGACGCUCAGGCACGAAAGCGUGGGGAGCAAACAGG
Molecule: ribosomal RNA, 253 nt
Filed under: uncultured bacterium
Lineage: Bacteria
Description: partial 16S ribosomal RNA
Rfam family: Bacterial small subunit ribosomal RNA
Source: RNAcentral